UACCCAUCAGCUAGCCUCACCUAAUACUAAAUAUCUAAUCUACCUAAAUGCACCUAAACAUCUAAACGCCUUAACAAUAAUUAUACUAAACCAUUCUUCCUCCUUAGUACAGGCGACGGAAAAGGACCUCCGAGAGCGAUAGAGAAAGUACCGCAAGGGAACGCUGAAAGAGAGAUGAAACAGCCCAACACAGCCCAAAAAAGCAGAGAUUCACCCUCGUACCUUUUGCAUCAUGAUUUAGCCAGAACCCCUAAGCAAAGAGAACUCUAGUUUAACCCCCCGAAACUGGGCGAGCUACUCUAAGACAGCCUGUUUAUCAGGGCAAAUCCGUCUCUGUGGCAAAAGAGUGGAGAGAGCUUAGAGUAGAGGUGACAAGCCAACCGAGCCCCGUCAUAGCUGGUUGCCUGAGAAUUGGAUAUAAGUUCAGCCUCCCGGAUUCUCCCUUCAUGACUAAUCUUUUAAUAUGAGAUACUCAGAAACCGAGAGAGUUAGUCAAAGGGGGUACAGCCCCUUUGAAACAAGACACAACUUUCCUAGGCGGGUAAAGAUUAUAUUAACUAAGGAAAGGUACUUUAGUGGGCCUUAGAGCAGCCACCCAAACAGAAAGCGUUCAAGCUCAAAUAUACCCAUCUCCCUACUAUCCCAAUAAACCAACCUAACCCCCCUUAAACCCACCAGGCCAUCCUAUACCCCUAUAGGAAUGACUAUGCUAAAAUGAGUAAUAAGAAGGCCACAGGCCUUCUCCUCGCACACAUGUAAAUCGAAAUGGACAAACCACCGAAUAUUAACGACCCCAAACAAAAGAGGGACCUGGAAAACUAAACAAAAUAAACAAGAAAAUCCUCCACCACUUCACUCGUUAACCCCACACUGGCGUGCUAACAAGGAAAGACUAAAACAAAGAGAAGGAACUCGGCAAACACUAACCCCAAGCCUCGCCUGUUUACCAAAAACACCGCCUCCUGCAAACAAAGAAUAGGAGGUCCCACCUGCCCAGUGAUUUUUAUUCAACGGCCGCGGUAUAUUGACCGUGCUAAGGUAGCGUAAUCACUUGUCCUUUAAAUGGGGACCCGUAUGAAUGGUAUAACGAGGGCUUAACUGUCUCCUCUUUCAAGUCAAUGAAAUUGAUCUCCCCGUGCAGAAGCGGGGAUAAGACCACAAGACGAGAAGACCCUGUGGAGCUUAAGACACCAAGACAGACAAUGUAAAUCACCCCUAAAUAAAGGGAUAAACCAAUUGACCCUGCCUCAUGUCUUCGGUUGGGGCGACCCUGGGGAAACAAAAAACCCCCAGAUGGAGUGAGAGCACUAUACCCUUCACCACUCAGCUCCUGCAACUAAGGGCUAUAGCCCUAGUUAACAGAACUUCUGACCAAACCCGAUCCGGCAAAGCCGAUUAAUAAAACAAGUUACCCCAGGGAUAACAGCGCAAUCCCCUUUCAGAGUUCAUAUCGACAAGGGGGUUUACGACCUCGAUGUUGGAUCAGGACAUCCUAAUGGUGCAGCCGCUAUUAAGGGUUCGUUUGUUCAACGACUAAUGUCCUACGUGAUCUGAGUUCAAACCGGAGCAAUCCAGGUUGGUUUCUAUCUGUAGUAUCCUCUUUUCUAGUACGAAAGGACCGAGAAGAGGCGGCCCAUGCUAUAAGUACGCCCCGCCCUGACCUGAUGAAGCCAUCUCAACCAGUCAAAAGGGUAUAGCCCCCCCCCCUGCCAAAGAUGAUGGUAU
This 1725-nucleotide ribosomal RNA is filed under the name Citharoides macrolepis (twospot largescale flounder). RNAcentral's name for it is "16S ribosomal RNA". It matches the Rfam family "Bacterial large subunit ribosomal RNA". Lineage: Eukaryota; Metazoa; Chordata; Actinopteri; Pleuronectiformes; Citharidae. The record is from RNAcentral.